Long non-coding RNA from Oncorhynchus kisutch (coho salmon), 2117 nucleotides. RefSeq lists it as uncharacterized. The record is from RefSeq and is a predicted model, not a curated record. NCBI's taxonomy places the organism in Eukaryota, Metazoa, Chordata, Actinopteri, Salmoniformes, Salmonidae. The transcript has 5 exons.
GUGACAGGAUGAAGGUCUACGUAUUCAAACUACGUCACACCAUGAGAAAGUAAAAAGAAACAGCGAUGUUGUAAAGCGGUUUAUCGACACCACUGCAUUUUUUGGUCAUGGAAUAAUUGGCUUUUAGAGGACACGAUGAGAGGGAAAGUUCCGCUAACAAGGGCAACUACAAUGAGAUUGCGGAGUAGCUGUUACAGCAAAAAAAUGCAAUGUUUGAGGAUAGUCUACAACAACAAACACUUUAUCACGGCAACUGGUUUGGUACAUUCACCUCUGAAGCAACUGGGUUCUACAGUUUGACCCCACUGCUGUCCCUGGCUCCACACACAUCCUGCCCGGCCAUCUAGAUGUGUGAAGGUAGGUGUCUUUUCUGUAGGGAAGCUAAUGAUCCAUCAUGUAUAACAUUCCUGGGAGCUUGUAAACAAAUGUUUUUAUUACCAUAUCAUUUUUGUAUGUUCUCUAUAGUUAUGUACUUGAACAUUUUUAAUUUGACCAAUUCAGAACAUUUGGGCAAACUCCUGGCAGAUGUAAUUCUUCACUGGAUCAGUCUGAACCUUUGCACACAUACUGCUGCCAUCUUGUGGACAACAUCUAAAUUCACACCCAUAAUCCUAUAUCAAUGGAUGGCCUUUCGCUUGCAUUUCAAAAUGAUUGUAUUAUCUUUUUCCAGAUCUAAUGUGUUUUAUUUUCCUACAUUAAUUUCAAAUUUCCACAGACUUCCAUAAACUUCAAAGUGUUUCCUUUCAAAUGGUAUCAAGAAUAUGCAUAUCCUUGGUUCAGGUUCUGGAGAUACAGGCAGUUAGAUUUGGGUAUGUCAUUUUAGGCAGAAAUUGGAAAAAAGGGUCUGAUCCUUAUUAAGAGAUGAUGACCACUCAGCUACUGUUGUCAUCUCUCUCCGGACAUGAACUGAAGCCACGUUUCAUUUGCCCGCUCAUUCACUGGCAAGUUGAAUGUUUCCUGUCCAAGCACUUCAAUCCUGUCCUGCCCUCAGUGGAAGAGUUGAGCUCUCUCCAAACACCAUCCAUCCAUCCAUGAUGAGCCUGUCCUGCACUAAAGUCUAUGAACACCUCAACCCCCGUCCUUCACUGAAGUCGAACCUCUGAACACCUCAACUCAUGCCUCAUACCCUCAUUCAAUCACUGCUGUGAUCCCUUCCCAACACUACUCAUUUAGGAAAAGUCAAGGAGGGGAGGCAUGACUUUAUAAUUGGCAGAGAAGGAGGACCAGAAGGAGCCGCUGCUCAGUGCAACGCAGCCUCCAUUCUCAUGGAUGAAGACCGCAUGGAGCUGGUGUAGCGAACCAUGGCAACAGUGGCCCUGCCCUCUCUGGCCAUCCUGACCGGGGCUCAGGAGAUCUCAGACGACUAGUGGAAGGACAUGGUCCAGAAGAUGCUCCAGACUCGCCAAAGUUCAGAAGGCCUGACUAUGGAGCGCAAAUUAGACUGAAUUGCCUCCUUUCCCACAGUGUCUUUAACUGUGCCCUGCAUUUCACCAUCACACUUACCCCAGGGGAGUCUGAGCUGAGGUCCUCUGAACAGUCCUAGGUGUCUCAAUUCUCAAGAUAUGAGAGAAAUUGUGCAAACCCCUUUAUGUCAAAUUCAUAUUAUAUUAGGAUAUAUCUUCUAAAUAUUUGUGUUUGAAAGGAGCCCACUGAUCCUAACCUAGAGCACGGCAGGUAGCUUAGUGGUUAAGCACAAUGGGCCAAUGACUGAAAGAUUGCUGGUUUGAAUCCCCAAGCCAACUAGGUGAAACAUCUGCCUGUGCCCUUGAGCAUGCCACUUAACCUUAAUUGCUCCAGUACAUUUCUCUGGAUAAGAGUGUCUGUAAAAUAUGUAUAUCUUUUUUUCAUGAGCAGUCAAAAAUACUGACUGAGCAGUUCUAGUGUUAAAUGGCUGUGGGCUAGCAGACUGGUUCAUACUGUGUGCAUUACUGUUCAUACUGUGUUGUCAUUGAAUUAAAAUUAUUUUAAUGGUUGUCCCUAAUGACCUGAUUCAUACUGUAGUUUGUAGCCUACAUUUCUGUACCAUGCAUAUUAUUGUCUGUUUAGCAUUGCUGAAGCCAACUAGCCAAGUCCAUAGAUUAUAGGCACUCAAUAAAUAGAUAUGAAUGAUAAUUCAG